This is a long non-coding RNA of Tripterygium wilfordii, 173 nucleotides long. RefSeq lists it as uncharacterized. NCBI's taxonomy places the organism in Eukaryota, Viridiplantae, Streptophyta, Magnoliopsida, Celastrales, Celastraceae. The transcript is spliced from 3 exons. The record is from RefSeq and is a predicted model, not a curated record.
CCGGCUGAUCAUCCGUCUUUAGCAAGAAAGUGAACAAAAGUAGAGCUAGGAAUGACAGCAUUACACUGAUAAUCAUUCAGGAAUCAUCAUUCUAAUUCAUGAGUUUGCAGCGGAAUAGAAAUGGAAGAUGGUAGAUGAAGAAGAAGAUGAGAGGGGAGAGAGAGAGAGUGAAA